ACGAUGAAGCUUAGAUGAUUUCUUCGGAAUGAACUUAAGUGGAUUAGUGGCGAACGGGUGAGUAACACGUGAGUAACCUGCCUUACACAAGGGGAUAGCCUCUGGAAACGGAGAAUAAUACCCUAUAAAGUCUAAUCAGCCCAUGCUGGAAAGACCAAAGAUUUAUCGGUGUAAGAUGGACUUGCGUCUGAUUAGCUAGUUGGUGAGAUAAAAGCUCACCAAGGCGACGAUCAGUAGCCGGCUUGAGAGAGUGUACGGCCACAUUGGGACUGAGACACGGCCCAAACUCCUACGGGAGGCAGCAGUGGGGAAUUUUGCACAAUGGGGGAAACCCUGAUGCAGCGACGCCGCGUGAUUUAGAAGGCCUUCGGGUUGUAAAAAUCUUUUUUACGGGAUGAAAAUGACAGUACCGUAAGAAUAAGGUCCGGCUAAAUACGUGCCAGCAGCCGCGGUAAUACGUAUGGACCGAGCGUUGUCCGGAAUCAUUGGGCGUAAAGGGUACGUAGGCGGCCUAGUAAGUUAGAAGUUAAAGAAUAUAGCUCAACUAUAUAAAGCUUUUAAAACUGCUAGGCUUGAGAGAUGGAAGGGAAAGUGGAAUUCCUAGUGUAGCGGUGAAAUGCGCAGAUAUUAGGAAGAAUACCGGUGGCGAAGGCGACUUUCUGGUCAUCAUCUGACGCUGAGGUACGAAAGCGUGGGUAGCAAACAGGAUUAGAUACCCUGGUAGUCCACGCUGUAAACGAUGAGUGUUAGGUUCUUGGAAUAAUCUGGGAGCCGCAGCUAACGCAUUAAACACUCCGCCUGGGGAGUACGCACGCAAGUGUG
Molecule: ribosomal RNA, 822 nt
Filed under: uncultured Clostridia bacterium
Lineage: Bacteria; Bacillati; Bacillota; Clostridia
Description: bacterial SSU rRNA
Rfam family: Bacterial small subunit ribosomal RNA
Source: RNAcentral